RNAcentral lists this ribosomal RNA (230 nucleotides) under uncultured bacterium. RNAcentral describes it as "partial 16S ribosomal RNA". It matches the Rfam family "Bacterial small subunit ribosomal RNA", at positions 15 to 228 of the family's 1533-position model. The record is from RNAcentral.
GAUCAUGGCUCAGGACGAACGCUGGCGGCGUGCUUAACACAUGCAAGUCGAACGAGAAUCUGUGGAAAGAGGAUUCGUCCAAUUGAAACAGAGGACAGUGGCGGACGGGUGAGUAACGCGUGAGGAACCCGCCUUUCAGAGGGGGACAACAGUUGGAAACGACUGCUAAUACCGCAUGACACAUUGAGGUCGCAUGGCCUUGAUGUCAAAGAUUUAUCGCUGAAAGAUGG